GCCAAAAGUGGUAAAAAUUAAAUGCAUCAUUCUCUCUCCUUUCUCCACACCAUUUUCGUAUUUCUCACCAACACAAACAUUCAAAUAGCUUUCUCCAUUUCAAAAUGCCGAGAAUACACCAAGGAAACCAAAGUUCAAAUUGCAAAAGAUUACAAGAACAACAACCCCAAAGUUCUACUCAUCAAUUCACUUCUAACACUAACUUUUCUUCAACUUUCUUUGCAAAAACGAAAAUAAAACCUAAACCAUCAACUCCAACUCUGUCCAGCCACCAUAACAACACAAAAUUCUAGUCCAUUCCUU
This 303-nucleotide long non-coding RNA is filed under the name Vigna radiata. Its description in RNAcentral is "long non-coding RNA (VRAD_LNC000639)". The record is from RNAcentral. Lineage: Eukaryota; Viridiplantae; Streptophyta; Magnoliopsida; Fabales; Fabaceae.